UACGGGGGGAGCAAGCGUUGUUCGGAUUUACUGGGCGUAAAGCGUGCGUAGGCGGUCCUGCAAGACAGGGGUGAAAUCCCCGGGCUUAACCUGGGAACUGCACUUGUGACUGCAGGGCUGGAGUGCGGCAGAGGGGGAUGGAAUUCCGCGUGUAGCAGUGAAAUGCGUAGAUAUGCGGAGGAACACCGAUGGCGAAGGCAAUCCCCUGGGCCUGCACUGACGCUCAUGCACGAAAGCGUGGGGAGCAAACAGG
This 253-nucleotide ribosomal RNA is filed under the name uncultured bacterium. RNAcentral describes it as "partial 16S ribosomal RNA". It matches the Rfam family "Bacterial small subunit ribosomal RNA", at positions 524 to 776 of the family's 1533-position model. The record is from RNAcentral.